Molecule: ribosomal RNA, 254 nt
Filed under: uncultured bacterium
Lineage: Bacteria
Description: partial 16S ribosomal RNA
Rfam family: Bacterial small subunit ribosomal RNA
Source: RNAcentral
UACGUAGGGGGCAAGCGUUGUCCGGAUUUAUUGGGCGUAAAGAGCUCGUAGGUGGUUCGGUAAGUCGGGUGUGAAAACUCUGGGCUCAACUCAGAGACGCCACCCGAUACUGCUGUGACUUGAGUCUGGUAGGGGAGUGUGGAAUUCCCAGUGUAGCGGUGAAAUGCGCAGAUAUUGGGAGGAACACCAGUGGCGAAGGCGGCACUCUGGGCCAGUACUGACACUGAGGAGCGAAAGCGUGGGUAGCGAACAGG